UCCGGUUGAUCCUGCCGGAGGUCACCGCUAUUGGAAUACGAUUAAGGCAUGCGAGUCGAGAGUCUUAGGGACUCGGCAGACGGCUCAGUAACACGUAGAUAAUCUGCCCUUAGGUAGGGGAUAACCUCGAGAAAUUGAGAAUAAUACCCUAUAGGUCUAAGAUGCUGGAAUGUUUUUAGAUUGAAAGCUCCGGCGCCUAAGGAUGAGUCUGCGGCCUAUCAGGUUGUAGUGAGUGUAACGGACUCACUAGCCGACGACGGGUACGGGCCCUGAGAGGGGAAGCCCGGAGAUGGACUCUGAGACACGAGUCCAGGCCCCAAGGGGCGCAGCAGCUACGAAAACUUCACAAUGUGGGAAACCGCGAUGAGGGAAUUCCAAGUGCUACAGUUUAACUGUAGCUGUUUACUUGCCUAAAAAGCAAGUAGAGUAAGGGCUGGGUAAGACUGGUGCCAGCCGCCGCGGUAAUACCAGCAGCCCUAGUGGUGAUCGUUUUUAUUGGGCCUAAAGCGUCCGUAGCCGGUUUGGUAAACCCUUGGGUAAAUCGAGCAGCUUAACUGUUCGAAUUCUGAGGAGACUGCCAGACUUGGGACCGGGAGAAGUUGGAAGUACUUUUGGGGUAGGGGGUGAAAUCCUGUAAUCCCAAAAGGACUACCGGUGGCGAAGGCGUCCAACUAGAACGGGUUCGACGGUAAGGGACGAAGCUCUGGGUCACGAACCGGAUUAGAUACCCGGGUAGUCCAGGGUGUAAACGCUGCAGGCUUGGUGUUGGGGGUCCUACGUGGGCGUCCAGUGCCGAAGAGAAGUUGUUAAGCCUGCCGCCUGGGGAGUACGAUCGCAGAUUGAAACUUAAGGAGUGGCGGGGGAGCACAGCACGGGUGAGCGUGCGGUUUAUUGAUUCACGCAGAAACUCACGGAGGCGACGAUACAUGAGCAGCUGAUGACUUGCUGAUUUUCAGAAGUGGUGCAUGUCGCCGUCAGUCGUACCGCAAGCGUUCUGUUAGUCGAUAACGAACGAGACCCUCCCUCUAGUUGCAUCAGAUUCUUCAGAAUGUGGGCGGAAUUGUACCCUAUCUUAGU
This 1077-nucleotide ribosomal RNA is filed under the name uncultured archaeon. Its description in RNAcentral is "bacterial SSU rRNA". It matches the Rfam family "Archaeal small subunit ribosomal RNA", at positions 1 to 1114 of the family's 1478-position model. The record is from RNAcentral.